Long non-coding RNA from Homo sapiens (human), 1576 nucleotides. Lineage: Eukaryota; Metazoa; Chordata; Mammalia; Primates; Hominidae. The record is from Ensembl.
GCCGAGCAGCUUGUUCCCAGAGCCGCUUUGCCCCUUGACGCUCCUAACCGGCUUACUGUGCUCCAGAAUCGGAGAUGGUCCUUUACUAUCAGUUUGGGGAAUAGGAUGGGCGGAGAUCCCCAGAUUCCUUUGGAGGUAGUGAUGGAAGCCUGCUCAGGCUCUCCCAGAUGGGACUGCAGCCCUCCUGAGACUCAGCAGUCAGCGUCAUAUCUGAGACUACCUUAGCUUCUGAAGACGAGGUCUGUUUGGAAGACAAAGCUACCCCAAGACAAGCACAGAGAAGUCAGGUCCAGAGCAUACCUGGUUUAUCAGCCGGUGGAGUAAGCAAGUCCCGAAUUUGAGGGUCCUUGAUUCCUACUGCCCACCGAAGAUCAAGGGUCCUGAGAAGGGGGCAGCUGGAGGUGCUGAGGGCAGAGACUGCAGACCAGGAGCAGCCUGCUAGGAGGAGGUCUUUCAGUCCUGCAAUGGAUGGAAUGAGACAUGUAAUAAUACACUGUUUCCCAGCAUACUCAGAGCCGUAACGAUCUGAGCAAAGUGAACAAACUUCCAGUCUAAUAGGAGAGAAGGACUAUGCCUAAUCUUUUAGUCAUCCAGCUCAAAGAUUUCCAUGGUAUCCUAUACUACAUCUUCUAGCUUUAGUGGUAAAUUGAUUGCUUAGUUCCCACCAGAGCAAUACAAGAAGGAGUGACUUCCUGUCUUUCUAAGAGCUCAAAAUGCUGAAGAGAACAAGGGCUUAUAAGGAGCUGACCAAAGUAACAUCUGACUCAAAUUUCCUCUUUAGUGGUUAUGCUGAGGAGAACUGCAGGGCUGGCAGCAACACUGAUUCCGUUCUCUUUGCUGUCCAUUGCAGUGAUUGGCCUGCCAGUCCAGAGUGCUGCCUGGGAGACUGACACUUAAGAUGGCCCUGGGUAAACCUCUUGCUAAGCAACAAUGGCAUGGGACUGCUGCCCUACACUGCCCUCCAGUGAUGCUAAGAAGCACUGCCAAUAAUGCAACUUUUCUUGCCCGCUUCUUCUGGGCCCCUGGAAAGACAGCGGCAGGGCUGCUCACUUACCUGGCAGCCUAUUGACGAGCCAUGUCAGUUGCUUUUUAGAGAUGUUGGUCCAACUGAGGUCAAGGCUGACUGGCUGCCUCUUGAUGAUGCCACUGAGGGCCUGGGGCACAAUGGCCUUACACCUACUCAAGUCAAUUUUUGUCCAAAGUCUCUUGUCGCAGCACCUGUGAUAGAAGGGAAGAGAACUCGCCUUCAUUAACUUGAUCAGUGGAGCUCCCAUCACAGGCUGCUUAUGGCUUCUGGGAAAAGCAGAGUACCUGGAGGCUCGUUCUUCUACAAGUGUACAGGGAUCACACCUUAUCAUUUUUUGCCUCACAGAAUAGGCAAAAAAUUGCCUUGAACUCUACAACAACUAGACGCUUUGCAAACCUACAUGUUGAUAGUAUAUAACUUGACCACUUUACCCUGAUUUAUUCUGGAGUGUUUGAGAACACAACAGUUGUUAGGGACCCAUAGCAAGCAACAGUCUAUAGCCCCUUCAUCUGUAUUAAAAUGGCAUGGUUCCUGCUGAAGUGUAUAUAA